AAAAUAUAGUCAUAAUAUGUGACACUGCAUUAGAUGUGCAGUGAGCUGGAGCACAAAAGGAUGUUCUUAAGUACUGCAGACCUGAAGAACUUUUUUUAAAAACUAUUUUCUAGGGAACAGGUCUGUUCAAGUUUAGGGGUCCUGGUCGUGAGCCAGCCCCUCCUCAUACUCCUUCGAACAAGCAACCCCAACUUAAUGUUGAAUGAAAGAGAAUGGCUACUGGAUCAGUCUUCUCAAUUUUGCUGAUGAUUUUUGUAUUGAAUCUGACAAUAGGUUCAUCAACUGCAGCCCCCAACUUUACUACUACAGAAACCACUGAACAAACAACACCCAGUGCUAUACCUGCUUCAACAGCAGAGACGACAGCAGCUAAUUUCAACACUUCAGGGACCACAACAGUUUUCCUUCUCUCAGCUGUCCUGAAUACAACAUAUGAAUCACAACUCAAUGACAACAACAGUGUUCAGUUCCAGACUCUCCAAA
This is a long non-coding RNA of Betta splendens (Siamese fighting fish), 483 nucleotides long. RefSeq lists it as uncharacterized. The transcript is spliced from 4 exons. The record is from RefSeq and is a predicted model, not a curated record. Lineage: Eukaryota; Metazoa; Chordata; Actinopteri; Anabantiformes; Osphronemidae.